AUUGAACGCUGGCGGCAUGCCUUACACAUGCAAGUCGAACGGCAGCACGGGAGCACCCCUGGUGGCGAGUGGCGAAUGGGUGAGUAAAGUAUCGGAACGUGCCCAGUCGUGGGGGAUAACGUAGCGAAAGUUACGCUAAUACCGCAUACGAUCUAUGGAUGAAAGCGGGGGAUCGCAAGACCUCGCGCGAUUGGAGCGGCCGAUAUCAGAUUAGGUAGUUGGUGGGGUAAAGGCUCACCAAGCCGACGAUCUGUAGCUGGUCUGAGAGGACGACCAGCCACACUGGGACUGAGACACGGCCCAGACUCCUACGGGAGGCAGCAGUGGGGAAUUUUGGACAAUGGGCGAAAGCCUGAUCCAGCCAUGCCGCGUGCAGGAUGAAGGCCUUCGGGUUGUAAACUGCUUUUGUACGGAACGAAAAGGUUUGGGCUAAUAAGCUGAGCUCAUGACGGUACCGUAAGAAUAAGCACCGGCUAACUACGUGCCAGCCGCCGCCGUAA
RNAcentral lists this ribosomal RNA (500 nucleotides) under uncultured bacterium. Its description in RNAcentral is "partial 16S ribosomal RNA". It matches the Rfam family "Bacterial small subunit ribosomal RNA", at positions 30 to 523 of the family's 1533-position model. The record is from RNAcentral.